GAUGAACGCUGGCGGUGUGCCUAAUACAUGCGAGUCGAGCGAACAGAUGAGGAGCUUGCUCCUCUGACGUUAGCGGCGGACGGGUGAGUAACACGUGGAUAACCUUCCUAUAAGACUGGGAUAACUUCGGGAAACCGGAGCUAAUACCGGAUAAUAUAUUGAACCGCAUGGUUCAAUAGUGAAAGACGGUUUUGCUGUCACUUAUAGAUGGAUCCGCGCCGCAUUAGCUAGUUGGUAAGGUAACGGCUUACCAAGGCAACGAUGCGUAGCCGACCUGAGAGGGUGAUCGGCCACACUGGAACUGAGACACGGUCCAGACUCCUACGGGAGGCAGCAGUAGGGAAUCUUCCGCAAUGGGCGAAAGCCUGACGGAGCAACGCCGCGUGAGUGAUGAAGGUCUUCGGAUCGUAAAACUCUGUUAUUAGGGAAGAACAAAUGUGUAAGUAACUAUGCACGUCUUGACGGUACCUAAUCAGAAAGCCACGGCUAACUACGUG
RNAcentral lists this ribosomal RNA (497 nucleotides) under uncultured bacterium. RNAcentral's name for it is "partial 16S ribosomal RNA". It matches the Rfam family "Bacterial small subunit ribosomal RNA", at positions 28 to 507 of the family's 1533-position model. The record is from RNAcentral.